RNAcentral lists this long non-coding RNA (1086 nucleotides) under Mustela putorius furo (domestic ferret). RNAcentral's name for it is "lncRNA (ENSMPUG00000031674.1)". Lineage: Eukaryota; Metazoa; Chordata; Mammalia; Carnivora; Mustelidae. The record is from RNAcentral.
UGUUAGUCUCCCUAUGUGUGUGCAGUUGCGAUACAGUGGAAACAAGUCUCCAAACCGGUCCUUAAGAAGUUUAUAAUCUGACAGAAAUCUGUGGGCGAAAGAUGAGGACAGAACAUUAAAACGUGAUUCCAUGAAAACUAUUCCUGAAGGUCAUUAAAAAAUUCAUAAGAUGUAGACAAGUGCACUGGACGACCAGCCAGGAGAUGGAAGGUCCAACCCCAGGUCUGUUACAACCAACCAGUGUGGCCAUGGACAGGACAAGAUUCGAUCUCUCUGGGUUUCCACAUUUGUCAGGAGGUGCUACUUUAGGUAACUACCUUUUGACCCCACCACAAUGUCCCUCACUCUAUGAAAGCAGAGGAUUAAGGUCCAGACUGUGGAGAAUAGCUGCAGAGUGACAUGGACUGUCAUCGAUCCAACCCCCAUCAUUGAAAGUUCAAGACUUCAGUGGAGGAAUAACUGCAGAGGUGGUAGAAAUGGCAAAGAUUCUGGAAUUAGAAGUGGAGCCUGAAGAUGUCACUGAAAUUCCUGUAAUCAUGAUAAAACUUAAAACUUUAGUGGAUGAGUAAUUCCUUUUUAUAGAUGUGUAAAGAAAGUGGUUUCCAAAUUUGAAAGAACUUCACUGUGGAUAAAAUAUUAUUAAACAGCAUUACAUGCUACAGAGAUAUUUUUCAUGAAGGAAGAGUCAAUUGACACAGCAAACUUCAAGGUUGUCUUAUUUUAAGAAACUGCCACGGUCACCCCAACCUUCAGCAACCACCACUUUGAUUAGUCAGCAACCAUUGACACUGAGAUAAGACCCUGCACCAGAAAGAAGACGAUUCACUAAAAGCUCAGAUGAUGGUUAGCAUUUUUAGCAAUAAAGUGUUUUUAAAUUAAGAUAUGGACAUUUUUGAGACAUAAUAUUAUUGAACACAUAAUAGACACAGUAUAGUGUAAACAUAACUUUCAUAUGCACUGGGAAACCAAAAAGUCACUUGACUCAUUUUAUUGUAAGAUUCACUUUUUUGUGUUAUCUGGAACUGAAGCCACAAUAUGAGAUAUGCCUAUAAAAUAAAAACAAAACCUACAAAAUAAUAAAAAAAU